AGAUAUAAGGGUGAUCUGGUUGCAACAUCUGUUGCCUCAUUGAUCGCCAAGGUUGACUUGGAUGAUCUAGUUGUAGGGAUGGGUGUCUCAUUUCUCCCUCACUCUUCUCUGUAAGUCCCUCUCAAAGAUGCUCACUUGCUGGAACAGAGAAAAACCAUAUCUAGUGUAUAGAGUAGCUGAGCUGCUCUGCUAUAACCAUCAAAUAAGCUCUCAUUAUUAAUAUUUUAGUAGCAAAAACUUCCUUGAAAUCUUUCAUUUUCUGGAAUUUUUCA
RNAcentral lists this small nuclear RNA (272 nucleotides) under Sorex araneus (European shrew). Its description in RNAcentral is "7SK RNA (ENSSARG00000018533.1)". It matches the Rfam family "7SK RNA". Rfam says of the family: 7SK was discovered as an abundant small nuclear RNA in the mid-70s but a possible function has only recently been suggested. The record is from RNAcentral. Lineage: Eukaryota; Metazoa; Chordata; Mammalia; Eulipotyphla; Soricidae.